GUCACGCGCGUUAUACCUAAGCAUUAUCUCUAUCAUCGGCGUGCGACGAUUGACAACGAUCCGCCGACCGACUCGACGCCAGAUCUGUCAAGUGGUCCGUUUCGUAUUACACGUUCUUCUCCGUGGAUCUUGGGCCCCACCGUUGCAACGGCACCUAAUACGAACCACUCUGAAAUCUAGAAACCCGGUGAAUAAUCUGUUCGAUCUGAGUAAACGAAAAUAACUGUUUUAUCUUCAUCAAAACGUUGUAGUUUUUAUUACCUUCUACGAUUUCAGUCGAGGUUUCGGCAAACUCCGAAUUCUCGAACUCGUCGAUGUAUCAACAAAAGUUCUCAAACGCUAAUCGUGAUAUUUUCGAUACUAUUUCCGGUUGACGGCAAGAGUUCAGUGCUUUUGUUGUUCUGUCUCCGUGCCGGUUCCACUGAAUUCCGGAACACUCGAUUUGUCUCCUCCACUGUCCCAACGACUCCGGUUAGUGCUACGCAUUGCGUUUGAAAAAUAUACCACCUCUGACAUACUUACUGGUACUUAAGACCAUACUGUGUAUGCUUGCAAAUACUCAAAAAUAAUUUAUGAUGAUGGUUUAUCAGUUAUUCGUUGUUGUCAAAAGUAUCAUAUACAGUAGCUGAUCUGAUGGGAAUACCUAUAUCAAUUUGGACACAUUUUGGAAUAGCAUCAGUGAUUGGUAUCCUAGAAAAUUUCAUUUUUCUCUCAAAUGAUGUAUGUGUUGUUACUUUAAUCAUAUGUGAAUAAUGAAUUAUUUCCAUUUGUGACUAACUAUACCUGGAUUAAAAUGUUGUACAAAAUAAUUAUCAAUGUUGAUUUAUGCCAUAGUUUCAAAUAUCGAUGCAUAUAUAUAUAUAUAUAU
RNAcentral lists this unclassified non-coding RNA (868 nucleotides) under Sipha flava (yellow sugarcane aphid). Its description in RNAcentral is "jerky protein homolog-like, transcript variant X1". Lineage: Eukaryota; Metazoa; Arthropoda; Insecta; Hemiptera; Aphididae. The record is from RNAcentral.